This 72-nucleotide transfer RNA is filed under the name Ictidomys tridecemlineatus (thirteen-lined ground squirrel). RNAcentral describes it as "Spermophilus tridecemlineatus (thirteen-lined ground squirrel) tRNA". It matches the Rfam family "tRNA". From Rfam's summary of the family: Transfer RNA (tRNA) molecules are approximately 80 nucleotides in length. The record is from Rfam by way of RNAcentral. Lineage: Eukaryota; Metazoa; Chordata; Mammalia; Rodentia; Sciuridae.
UGGGUUGUGGCUCAGUGGUAGAGCGCUUGCCUAGCAUGUGUGAGGCACUGGGUUCAAUUCUCAGCACCACAU